Molecule: small nuclear RNA, 85 nt
Filed under: Mus caroli (Ryukyu mouse)
Lineage: Eukaryota; Metazoa; Chordata; Mammalia; Rodentia; Muridae
Description: snRNA (MGP_CAROLIEiJ_G0035555.1)
Rfam family: U4 spliceosomal RNA
About the family: U4 small nuclear RNA (U4 snRNA) is a component of the major U2-dependent spliceosome. The structure of U4 snRNA from yeast and human has been reported. U4 snRNA presents a k-turn RNA motif in the 5p-SL related to recognition of Snu13 protein.
Source: RNAcentral
AGCUUUGCACAGCAGCAGUAUCAUAGCCAAUGAGGUUUAUCCAAGACAGGAUUAUUGCUAAUUGAAAACUGCUUUUCUUUUGUGC